AACGAACGCUGGCGGCAUGCCUAACACAUGCAAGUCGAACGAGACCUUCGGGUCUAGUGGCGCACGGGUGCGUAACGCGUGGGAACCUGCCCUUAGGUUCGGAAUAACUCCCCGAAAGGGGUGCUAAUACCGGAUAAUGUCUUCGGACCAAAGAUUUAUCGCCUUUGGAUGGGCCCGCGUUGGAUUAGCUAGUUGGUAGGGUAAAAGCCUACCAAGGCGACGAUCCAUAGCUGGUCUGAGAGGAUGAUCAGCCACACUGGGACUGAGACACGGCCCAGACUCCUACGGGAGGCAGCAGUGGGGAAUAUUGGACAAUGGGCGAAAGCCUGAUCCAGCAAUGCCGCGUGAGUGAUGAAGGCCAUAGGGUUGUAAAGCUCUUUUACCCGGGAUGAUAAUGACAGUACCGGGAGAAUAAGCUCCGGCUAACUCCGU
Molecule: ribosomal RNA, 432 nt
Filed under: uncultured bacterium
Lineage: Bacteria
Description: partial 16S ribosomal RNA
Rfam family: Bacterial small subunit ribosomal RNA
Source: RNAcentral